AAUACCGGAUAGGACCAUCGUUUAAUGUCGGUGGUGGAAAGUUUUUCGGUGCAGGAUGAGCCCGCGGCCUAUCAGCUUGUUGGUGGGGUAAUGGCCUACCAAGGCGUCGACGGGUAGCCGGCCUGAGAGGGUGGACGGCCACAUUGGGACUGAGACACGGCCCAGACUCCUACGGGAGGCAGCAGUGGGGAAUAUUGCACAAUGGGCGCAAGCCUGAUGCAGCGACGCCGCGUGGGGGAUGAAGGCCUUCGGGUUGUAAACUCCUUUCAGCCAUGACGAAGCUGGCCUUGUUGGGUCAGUGACGGUAGUGGUAGAAGAAGCACCGGCUAACUACCUGCCAACAGCCGCGGUAAUACGUACGGUGCGAGCGUUGUCCCGAAUUACUGGGCGUAAAGAGCUCGUAAGUGGUUUGUCGCGUCGUCUGUGAAAUUCCGGGGCUUAACUCCGGGCGUGCAGGCGAUACUGGCAUAACUUGAGUACUGUAUGGGAGACUGGAAUUCCUGGUGUAACGGUGAAAUGCGCAGAUAUCACGAGGAACACCGAUGGCGAAGGCAGGUCUCUGGGCACUUACUGACGCUGAUGAGCGAUAGCAUGGGUAGCGAACAGGAUUAGAUACCCUGGUACUCCAUGCCGUAAACGGUGGGCGCUAGGUGUGGGGGUCUUCCACGACUUCCGUGCCGUAGCUAACGCAUUAAGCGCCCCGCCUGGGGAGUACGGCCGCAACGCUAAAACUCAAAGGAAUUGACUGAGGCCCGCACAAGCGGCGGAGCAUGUGGAUUAAUUCGAUGCAACGCGAAGAACCUUAACUGGGCUUGACAUAUGCAGGAUCGGCACAGAUAUGUGUUUUACCCUUUGUGGUACUGUAUACAAGCUGGUGCAUGGCUGAUCGUCAUCUCGUGUCCUGAGAUGUUGAGAUAAGUGCUCUGCAACAAGCGCAACCACUUAGUCUCGUUGCUGGCUAGCAUCGCUUAUGGAUGGGGUACUCGAGAGAGACUGCCGGGAGUUAAAUCGGAGGAAGGUGGGGAUGACGUCAAAUCAUCAUGCCCCUUAUGUCCAGGGCUUCACACAUGCUACAAUGG
This 1079-nucleotide ribosomal RNA is filed under the name Corynebacterium glyciniphilum. Its description in RNAcentral is "bacterial SSU rRNA". It matches the Rfam family "Bacterial small subunit ribosomal RNA", at positions 165 to 1233 of the family's 1533-position model. The record is from RNAcentral. Lineage: Bacteria; Bacillati; Actinomycetota; Actinomycetes; Mycobacteriales; Corynebacteriaceae.